UGUCUCCCAUGGAGGCACCAGAAUGCCAUCACCGAGCCCAUUUUCCAUUAUGUCUCCAGAGGGUCUGACUUGGAAGCAGGAAAAUUAUGCAACUUUAAUCAAAGGCAAUAGAAUCAGUCCCCCCCAAACAGCUACACGACUAUCUGAUUUAAUUUCCAUUUUUCAACGGUGUUGAGUAUGCCCUGACAUCACAAUGCACGUGAAAUUCCAGGAUCAAGUCAUAUAGCCACUUACCCUGGAUUUUUGGCCAGGGUUGCAAACACCUGCUUGAUGAGUGAGUUCCACAAGGACUACAGCAUAGGAGGAAAAGUUUACUCUUAUAAGAUGAAAGACUCUUCAAGGCAAGAAAUUUGUCACUGUGAGAUGAGUGGCUGAAAUUGGAGGGUAGUGCUGAAGUGCCAUCAAGUGAUACUAAAUACAAGAAAGCUGUGACGUGUCUUAAAGAGAAAUACGUGUGUUGGACAACCUUCAUUCAAAGGUUUCAGGUUUUUUCCAAAUGGCAUUCAACAUGCUUUCCCGGGUUCCUAUCUGCCUUCCAAUGACUGGCACCUGGGCAGCAGAUGGUGCAAAUGGCCUACUAUAUAUUUCCUGGAUUGAUGAAGAGAACUGUCAGGAACCUGACUGCAUUGGCCUGAUGCCUCAUGGCAGAAAAGGCUGCUCAAAAGUGACAGUGACUGGAAAUAAUUUUGAU
This is a long non-coding RNA of Canis lupus familiaris (dog), 691 nucleotides long. RefSeq lists it as uncharacterized. The record is from RefSeq and is a predicted model, not a curated record. NCBI's taxonomy places the organism in Eukaryota, Metazoa, Chordata, Mammalia, Carnivora, Canidae. The transcript is spliced from 4 exons.